UCCGUAGGUGAACCUGCGGAAGGAUCAUUACUGAGUGUCGGGUUCUCUCUUCGAGGCCCACCCUCCAACCCUGUGUCUAUCGAACCUCUUGUUGCUUUGGCGGGCCCGUCUCCCACCACUGGGAAGACCGCCGGGUCCCUUUAUGGGGCCUGGUCCGUGCUCGCCGACAGCCUACACAACACAAACUCUUGAACUCAACUUUGCGUCUGAAACACAAACAAAACAAAUAAAACAAAACUUUCAACAACGGAUCUCUUGGUUUGGGCAUCGAUGAAGAACGCAGCGAAAUGCGAUAAGUAAUGCGAAUUGCAGAAUCCGUGAGUCAUCGAAUCUUUGAACGCACAUUGCGCCCUCUGGUAUUCCGGGGGGCAUGCCUGUUCGAGCGUCAUUAUCACCCCUCAAGCCUCCGGUUUGGUGUUGGGCUUUGGCGGUUCGCGAGAACCACCGGCCUCAAAUAUAAUGACGGCGUCCCCGUGAGACUCGACGCACUGAGCUUUUAACCACAAGGCACGCGUCCGUAGCGCUCCGGGUCGACAACCGGUCUCAACUUUUUACCAUUUUAACAAGGGGG
RNAcentral lists this ribosomal RNA (571 nucleotides) under uncultured fungus. RNAcentral's name for it is "eukaryotic LSU rRNA". The stretch from base 236 to 388 matches the Rfam family "5.8S ribosomal RNA". The record is from RNAcentral. Lineage: Eukaryota; Fungi.